AAGAAAGAAAAUAUAAAAGUGUAGUGUGCAUCAAAUCGCAUGACUUUCUCAGAGUACUAAUACCUCCACCACAACAGGGCACCGCCUGAGUUUUAGGUGCACUACUCAAGUUCAAAAGUAUUUUCUACAAUUUAUUAGAACCUGAUCCAUCAAAUUUUCAGAAUAUCACAUGUUGUCUAAAUUUGUCAAGAAUGGUUCGCA
Molecule: long non-coding RNA, 201 nt
Filed under: Phoenix dactylifera (date palm)
Lineage: Eukaryota; Viridiplantae; Streptophyta; Magnoliopsida; Arecales; Arecaceae
Description: long non-coding RNA (PDAC_LNC007530)
Source: RNAcentral